This 490-nucleotide ribosomal RNA is filed under the name uncultured bacterium. RNAcentral describes it as "bacterial SSU rRNA". It matches the Rfam family "Bacterial small subunit ribosomal RNA", at positions 28 to 526 of the family's 1533-position model. The record is from RNAcentral.
GACGAACGCUGGCGGCGUGCUUAACACAUGCAAGUCGAACGAUGAAGCACCAGCUUGCUGGUGUGGAUUAGUGGCGAACGGGUGAGUAACACGUGAGUAACCUGCCCCCCACUCUGGGAUAAGCCUGGGAAACUGGGUCUAAUACUGGAUAUGACCAUUGAACUCAUGUUCUGAUGGUGGAAAGCUUUAGUGGUGGGGGAUGGACUCGCGGCCUAUCAGCUUGUUGGUGGGGUAAUGGCCUACCAAGGCGACGACGGGUAGCCGGCCUGAGAGGGCGACCGGCCACACUGGGACUGAGACACGGCCCAGACUCCUACGGGAGGCAGCAGUGGGGAAUAUUGCACAAUGGGCGAAAGCCUGAUGCAGCGACGCCGCGUGAGGGAUGAAGGCCUUCGGGUUGUAAACCUCUUUCACCAGGGACGAAGCCGCAAGGUGACGGUACCUGGAGAAGAAGCACCGGCUAACUACGUGCCAGCCGCCGCAGUAAAAC